UGGGGAAUAUUGCACAAUGGGCGCAAGCCUGAUGCAGCCAUGCCGCGUGUGUGAAGAAGGCCUUCAGGUUGUAAAGCACUUUCAGCGGGGAGGAAGGCGAUAAGGUUAAUAACCUUGUCGAUUGACGUUACCCGCAGAAGAAGCACCGGCUAACUCCGUGCCAGCAGCCGCGGUAAUACGGAGGGUGCAAGCGUUAAUCGGAAUUACUGGGCGUAAAGCGCACGCAGGCGGUUGAUUGAGUCAGAUGUGAAAUCCCCGGGCUUAACCCGGGAAUUGCAUCUGAUACUGGUCAGCUAGAGUCUUGUAGAGGGGGGUAGAAUUCCAUGUGUAGCGGUGAAAUGCGUAGAGAUGUGGAGGAAUACCGGUGGCGAAGGCGGCCCCCUGGACAAAGACUGACGCUCAGGUGCGAAAGCGUGGGGAGCAAACAGG
Molecule: ribosomal RNA, 429 nt
Filed under: Chloroflexota bacterium
Lineage: Bacteria; Bacillati; Chloroflexota
Description: Chloroflexi bacterium partial 16S ribosomal RNA
Rfam family: Bacterial small subunit ribosomal RNA
Source: RNAcentral